Long non-coding RNA from Sorghum bicolor (sorghum), 321 nucleotides. RefSeq lists it as uncharacterized. The record is from RefSeq and is a predicted model, not a curated record. NCBI's taxonomy places the organism in Eukaryota, Viridiplantae, Streptophyta, Magnoliopsida, Poales, Poaceae. The transcript is spliced from 2 exons.
CAAAGUCUUGGGCAAGCAUCGGGUGUACCUGUGCUGUUUUCAGCUCCUCCACCUCCUACUCCUACAGCUACUCCUCCUCCGUCCGCGGGUUCGAAUCAUCCUGCAAAUGCGUCACCAGGUGAUCAGGCCUUUCCUUCACCAUCUUCUCAUAGGCUACCUUGAUGAGGACUCGUGGUAGGUGAUGUGGUUGGACUUUAGCGUGAUUUGUGGUUUAUAGUUGUGACUUGUGUUUGGAUUUGAUGAACUUGUUGUAAUAAACAUGUGAAUGAUGAUGAACAUGCUGAGACUUGUAAUAUGGUUGUGAUAUUAUGAUUUGUGGUU